This 463-nucleotide ribosomal RNA is filed under the name uncultured bacterium. RNAcentral's name for it is "partial 16S ribosomal RNA". It matches the Rfam family "Bacterial small subunit ribosomal RNA", at positions 28 to 507 of the family's 1533-position model. The record is from RNAcentral.
GAUGAACGCUGACAGAAUGCUUAACACAUGCAAGUCUUUGGCGAAGCUGUGCUUGCACAGCCUAGCCAAGGCGGACGGGUGAGUAACGCGUAAGGAACUUGCCCUGCAGUCAGGGAUAACAGACGGAAACGACUGAUAAGACCUGGUAAAGUCAGGCGGACUCAUGUCCAGCCUGAUGAAAAGAGAUGCUGCAGGAGAGCCUUGCGUCCUAUUAGCUUGUUGGUGGGGUAACGGCCCACCAAGGCGAUGAUAGGUAGCCGGCCUGAGAGGGUGGACGGCCACAAGGGGACUGAGAUACGGCCCUUACGCCUACGGGAGGCAGCAGUGGGGAAUAUUGGACAAUGGGGGCAACCCUGAUCCAGCAAUUCUGUGUGCACGAUGAAGGUUUUCGGAUUGUAAAGUGCUUUCAGCAGGGAAGAAAAAAAUGACGGUACCUGCAGAAGAAGCGACGGCUAAAUACGUG